Molecule: long non-coding RNA, 832 nt
Organism: Marmota monax (woodchuck)
Lineage: Eukaryota; Metazoa; Chordata; Mammalia; Rodentia; Sciuridae
Exons: 2
Source: RefSeq, a predicted model, not a curated record
CUUAGCAAGGCCGUGCAGGGCCUGGGCUCCCGCGCCUGCUGCCUCUGGCUAUAGCUGGCCCUGGCCACUCACUGCUGCCGUGGAACAGGGUUCUCCUGGUGUGCCAGGACGUGAAGGCACCAGAGGUCUGCCCCAGAGGGGGCAGGUGAGCCCCCGUGUGGACACAGGCCCCUGUGGUCUGCCACCCUGCAGAGCUUGAGGUCAUAGCCUCCUGCAGCUCCCUGCAGAGACCAGAGGCCGUCCAGUGCAGGAGGCUGCAACUGUUUCACCAGGGGCUCACAGCUAAGGGUUCACCUUGAGCCUCAGCAGAGACUUUGGACUUGAGUGUCGGAGCGGUCCUAUGACUGUUGGCGACGGGAGGGCUGGGAGUGGAUGAACACAGUUCGCCUGGUAACGGACAUUGCCUUUGGCAGCCGGAGUGAAAUAUGGUUUGGAUCUUAAAUGUCCCUCCACAGCUCCUGUGUUAAAAUAUGGACCCCAAUGCAGCAGUGUUUAGAUGUGGGCCUUUGCCAGGUGACUGGACAUGAAGGCUCUGCCCUCACAAAUGGAUGGAGGGCUCCUUGGGAUUUGUAGGUCCAUGGUCUAUUGGGUGUGUCUUAGUUGGAAGGAGGAGGUCAGGGGUCCAUGCCCUUGAAGGGAACAUCUUGUCAUUUUGUCCUGGGACCCCUGCUUGUCCCACUCUGCACCCCAGCCUUGAGGGGCACAGCUCUGCCCUUCCAGGAGCCCCACCAUGAUGUUCUGCAUUACCCGAGGUCCCGAGUCACGGGACUGAGAAAUCGUGGACUGAAUCUUCUGAAACUUUGAGCCAAAAUAAAUCUUUGUUCCUUUAAAA